This 460-nucleotide ribosomal RNA is filed under the name uncultured bacterium. Its description in RNAcentral is "partial 16S ribosomal RNA". It matches the Rfam family "Bacterial small subunit ribosomal RNA", at positions 338 to 795 of the family's 1533-position model. The record is from RNAcentral.
CCUACGGGCGGCAGCAGUGAGGAAUAUUGGUCAAUGGACGAGAGUCUGAACCAGCCAAGUAGCGUGAAGGAUGACUGCCCUAUGGGUUGUAAACUUCUUUUAUAUGGGAAUAAAAUGUUCCACGUGUGGGAUUUUGUAUGUACCAUAUGAAUAAGGAUCGGCUAACUCCGUGCCAGCAGCCGCGGUAAUACGGAGGAUCCGAGCGUUAUCCGGAUUUAUUGGGUUUAAAGGGAGCGUAGGUGGAUUGUUAAGUCGGUUGUGAAAGUUUGCGGCUCAACCGUAAAAUUGCAGUUGAAACUGGCAGUCUUGAGUACAGUAGAGGUGGGCGGAAUUCGUGGUGUAGCGGUGAAAUGCUUAGAUAUCACGAAGAACUCCGAUUGCGAAGGCAGUUCACUGGACUGCAACUGACACUGAGGCUCGAAAGUGUGGGUAUCAAACAGGAUUAGAUACCCUUGUAGUC